RNAcentral lists this long non-coding RNA (851 nucleotides) under Malus domestica (apple). RNAcentral describes it as "long non-coding RNA (MDOM_LNC004836)". Lineage: Eukaryota; Viridiplantae; Streptophyta; Magnoliopsida; Rosales; Rosaceae. The record is from RNAcentral.
AAGGCUUCGUCACGCAAAGUCCCUUCAAUUUUUGGGUCAAAGCAUUCAGUGCAUGUGAAUCAAAGGAAUGACGAAGUUUUUUCCUCGGAAACCUUGCGCGACAAAGGCUUCAUCGCGAAAACCUUGCGCAACAAAGGCUUCAUCGCGCAAAGUCCCUUCAGUUUUUGGGUCAAAGUAUUCAGUGCAUGUGAAUCAAAUGAAUCAAUACCGUAUUUAGUGCAGAUGUUUGCACGACAAAGACUUCGUCGUGCAAGGUUCCAAACCUUCCUAUAAGUUUGCGCUUCUGCUCUCCUUAUUAUUCACGAUUCGUUUCGGAAACACUUUACUAUUUUGCAGAUUAUAAUCAAUUUGUUCUUUUGAUUCUUGGUAAAAUGGUCGACUGUGGUGCGUGUUCAUCAAAGACAAUUAAUGGAGAAGGUUCGGGAAAAUGUUUGCGUUGUAAAUUUUGCAUUUUAUAUCAAGUUUAUAUUUAGCUUGAGUAUUAUGAAUAUAUAGUUUGUUGAUAGACAAGAAGAGUCCGACACUUUUGGUGGGAGCUGCUACCGAAUCACUUCUGAUGAAUUAAUAGGGGCUGUGAAGUCAGAUAUGUGCAUCAGGUUUUUGUCCGAUGUUGGAGUAUUAGUGCACGACAAAUGUGGUGUGGAUUGGGAGACUUGGAGAGCCACCCCUGAGGAGAUGAAGAUGCACUUCAUCAAUGAGCCAGCUGCGUGUGCUAAGUUAUUAGUUAAAUAAUAAUUAUGCUUGUUAAAUUUAAUAUAAUAGUGAUAUUUUAAUUUAUUAAUUUUCGCAUGAUAGCCUAAUUGGGACAUGGACAAAAGUAACCCAAAUCUGAUGAUGUGCAUCGACAACAU